UCACAGUUUUCCCUAUCUCCACCUCCUCCCCUAGCCCAACCCCUUCAUGAAUUUUUUUUAAACCACUAAUCAAGUUCAAGUGUUUCCCAAAAAAAACAUGCUGCAGUCCUACCCCCUAGCAACAUGUUGCUAUCUUUGGAAAUGGUGCCUGUGUAGAAUUAGAGUAAUCACUUGUUGCAUGGUUGAGUAUUGUUGGUGUACUCAUCAAAACAGGAAGUCUGGAGACAAACACUUAUGCAGGAAGAUGGCUACGUGACCGAGGGAGGGAUCAGAGACUGUAGUGGUGUGUCUGCAAGCCAAGGGACUGCAAAGACUUUGGAGAAUCAGCAGAAGCUAGAAGGGAAAGUCACUCCACCCUCCCUGAGGGACAGCAAUAGUCCAUUGUAUGGGCCACCAAGCUUAAGGGGCUUUGCUACUGCAAUCCUAAGCAAACGCAAACAAUCCCUGACUUCCGGUUCACCUGAUUUUUCCCAUUAGGCUGUAAACUCCAUAGUGGAACAGUUCUUUCCCUUGUUUUAAAGUGUGUGUGUGUGUGUGUGUGUGUGUGUGUGUAUGUGUGUGCGCGUGUGUACAGGCAUGGGGGUGCCACAGCAGCAUUGGAGGUCAAAGGACAGCUUUUGGGGUGAUAUCCCUCCUCAUGGGGUCUGUGUGAAAUGUGUUUCCUGGGUGUUGCCUUCUCGUUUCCGGAAGACAUUGCUAGAAGAGACAUCAAGGAGGCAUGGGCUGGUUCCCUAAACAGGAACGGCAGAGCCAAGGGAGAACACAGGAGCCCUUCAAACGCCCGUCUGUUUAGUAGACUCCUGGCCUUACAUGCCUUUCGUUCCAAAGGGGUAAAGUUGCUUCCGUGGCCUGGUCUCCGGCCGUUUGCGCAUGCCAGGGAAGGAACUCAGGGACCCCUGGAUAACCUGCAGCACCCAGCUGCAUUUUGGGGUCUCUCAUCUGAAACUGGAGACCUCUACUCGAGGUCAUAUCUCUGACUGCAAAUUGGGCAAAAAGACUUGGAAGUGGCCAUGACCCAUCCGGCACACUGAAGGUUCCCUUUGAGCAAGGGGUCCUUCCCAGCUUCCACCACAAAACCCCAGUCAGCCCGUCUCCCCUGGAGCAAGAGAAUAGGGAUUGGCUCUGACGGAACUGGGUGCUUUGAUGUCCGAUGACUGGACAGAGUUCUCCAGAACCAGGGCAGGCUGAGGCCACUGGUCAGUCCUAAGUUAGAGUGUGGCAAACCGGACCUCAAGUAACAAUCACCUUCCUGGAGAGGAAGGGAGGCAGAGGGCAGAGUCUCCACUGCAGACACCUGGGAAAGGUCAGUGGGAAAGAUUCGGCUCCUUGCCCUCCACACCCAGCUGCCAGCUCUUAGGCCCAGGAUCUGUGAAUAGCCGAGCUUCCGAAACUUUCCAGUGAGCUGCUCCAGAAUGAAGGCAGAUCCCAGCGUAGUCUGGCAGUUUUCUGGCCUAGAAGGGGAAAGUGACUCCUAGCUUGCUUUGAGUUUGAGAGGCCCCCAUAGGCUCAUAUAUUUGCGUGCUUGCUGCUGGAACUGUUUAGGAAGGUUAGGAGGUGUGGCUUUAAGGAGGUGUGUCUCUGGGAGCGGGCUUUGAGGUUUUAAAACCCCAGCGGGUUUACCCUGCCUUGUGCUUGUGGAUCAGGAUGCAAACUCUCACUGCUGCCCCCGCACCGUGCCUGCCUGCUGGCCGCCAUGAUGGACAUGGGCUUUAGGUCUCUGAAACCGUAAGCCUGAGAAAGUGCUUCCCUUUGUGAGACAGCGUCUCCGUGUAUCGCCUUGGCUGGUUGGAAUUUGCUGUCACUGUGGAAGGACUGAAUACAAGCAGCCAUGCCCGUGCUGGUAGAAAGAUCUGGAAGUGAGCCACAGUCUCUGCCAAGUGUUGUCAAAAAAGGAAGCGCUUUCAGAGCAGCCCCCAGAAGCCGCAGAGGGGCACACUGGAUGUGGGAGAAGCCACCCACUACUGUACUACUGUCAGAGAGCAAGACAGGGUGAAGCGCCAGUGCCCUGCCGUCAGACUGUGUGAGCACCUGGGAUCCUGCCGUCAGACUGUGUGAGCACCUGGGGCCCUGCCGUCAGACUGUGUGCACCUGUGCCAGCGCCCUGCCGUCAGACUGUGUGAGCACCUGGGGCCCUGCCGUCAGACUGUGUGCACCUGUGCCAGCGCCCUGCCGUCAGACUGUGUGAGCACCUGGGGCCCUGCCGUCAGACUGUGUGCACCUGUGCCAGCGCCCUGCCGUCAGACUGUGUGAGCACCUGGGGCCCUGCCGUCAGACUGUGUGCACCUGUGCCAGCGCCCUGCCGUCAGACUGUGUGAGCACCUGGGGGCACGCGCCUGGGUUACCCAUUUCCCACCGUUGUGGGGUGGCAUCUAGUUUUACUGCCCACCCUGUCCCCAAUGCUUCUUUACCUUAGACGCCCUUUAACCUGUUCCUGACCUGCUCACUCUGUCAGGGCUUCUCUAGAAACGGGAGGAUACUGUUAUCCUAGCGGCAGAGAGAGUUGUUAGACAGGACAAAGUGGUUCCAAGGUUCCCCAGUGUCCCCACUCAGCUGCCUUCUCCAACACUGGGCAAACUCAGACCCUUAGAACCUAAAACAACAACAAAAACAAACAAAGCAAAAAACCAAAUCACUGUUCCUCUGUCAGGAGACCUGGUUCCAGCACCUGCGGUGUUUCCCGUGCAGAUGAUGAGGGGAUUCAGAUCUACCUGUGUUCACAACCUCCUCUUUAGAGGAGCCUCGAAAAGUCCACGUGUUGAGUUUUCAGACUAUCUGCUCUCAUUUGUACACAUUAACUUGAUUGUGGGUAUGGGCUUCCAAGCAGCUUGUCGCUCCAGGCAGGGGAGUGUCUAGUGACAUGGGUAAUGGCAGACACUUCCGUCGGCUUGGUCUCCUUGCGAACAGGUGCUCACUGCCAGUCACUCAGGGGAAAGCUCUGGAGGACAGCUUAUGAGACUCAUCUGAACUGAGGCUGUAAGGACAAGUGCUUUGCAUCCUGCCGUCUGUCAAGAGUCUGUCUGUCUAGUGUAAAACACUGGCCUGUGCAGUAAGUUGCCUGCACUGUUUGAGUCCCUGAGACCCUGGAUUUGAAGACGGGCUUUGGCUCUCCCACUUCAGAUCCAAGGAUGUUUGUCCCAACAUGUCCUCCAAAACCCCCUUUCCUGAGCUGGUCCCUGACUCUGACAGGGAGAAAGGAAAACACAACAGCCAAAGAGUAAAGGAAAGUACUUAUUUCAUGUCUAAA
Mesocricetus auratus (golden hamster) is the source of this 3244-nucleotide long non-coding RNA. RefSeq lists it as uncharacterized. The record is from RefSeq and is a predicted model, not a curated record. Lineage: Eukaryota; Metazoa; Chordata; Mammalia; Rodentia; Cricetidae. The transcript has 3 exons.